AGUGAACGCUGGCGGUAGGCCUAACACAUGCAAGUCGAACGGCAGCACAGAGGAGCUUGCUCCUUGGGUGGCGAGUGGCGGACGGGUGAGGAAUACAUCGGAAUCUACUCUGUCGUGGGGGAUAACGUAGGGAAACUUACGCUAAUACCGCAUACGACCUACGGGUGAAAGCAGGGGAUCUUCGGACCUUGCGCGAUUGAAUGAGCCGAUGUCGGAUUAGCUAGUUGGCGGGGUAAAGGCCCACCAAGGCGACGAUCCGUAGCUGGUCUGAGAGGAUGAUCAGCCACACUGGAACUGAGACACGGUCCAGACUCCUACGGGAGGCAGCAGUGGGGAAUAUUGGACAAUGGGCGCAAGCCUGAUCCAGCCAUACCGCGUGGGUGAAGAAGGCCUUCGGGUUGUAAAGCCCUUUUGUUGGGAAAGAAAUCCAGCUGGCUAAUAC
This 442-nucleotide ribosomal RNA is filed under the name Stenotrophomonas maltophilia. RNAcentral describes it as "bacterial SSU rRNA". It matches the Rfam family "Bacterial small subunit ribosomal RNA", at positions 29 to 465 of the family's 1533-position model. Lineage: Bacteria; Pseudomonadati; Pseudomonadota; Gammaproteobacteria; Lysobacterales; Lysobacteraceae. The record is from RNAcentral.